GGUCAUCGAGUCCAGUGGAGCAGAGUCUUCGACUCUAUGGAUAGAGUUGAUUCAGCUGGAGGCCUUGGUAGAAUGUCACAACUUGGACAUGUUGUAAGGAGAACAUAUUCAGUUCAGGCCCCUCUGCCCGUUAGGUAUUUGGAUACCAACCACAAGCUGAACAGAUAUGGCUUUGUAAUAUUAGGGGGCAUAGAUGGCUACUCACGAAAGGCCAUGUAUCUGGGGGCUGCAACCAACAACAACGCAGAAAGUGCACUAGGUUUCUUCCUCAAGGCAGUAGAAAAG
Molecule: long non-coding RNA, 285 nt
Organism: Carassius carassius (crucian carp)
Lineage: Eukaryota; Metazoa; Chordata; Actinopteri; Cypriniformes; Cyprinidae
Exons: 3
Source: RefSeq, a predicted model, not a curated record